CUCCACCAACCUAGCUCUCUUUCCCCAAUCCCCUUCUCCCGCACGAACCCUAGCAAUCGACAGCCGCCACAUCCUCACUCGUCCCAGCCGCCUCCAGCUUGCUUCCUCCUCCUCAAUCCUCCUGCAUUGGUCACGCCCCUCCUCCCGCAUCUCACCCAUCUCGAUGAAUCUGAGGCGUGCGGGCACGGAGGCGAGGUUCUCCGGCGGCGACUGGAACCUCCAGGCAGAGGGCGACCCCAUGGAUCCGUCCCUGUAGGAGCGAGAAGGAAGGAGAGGAUGUAGAUAUUGAGGAAAGAGGAGACCGGCCACGGAGAUGGGAUGAGAACGUCCAUGCCGAGCCAAUCGAGCCACACCUCCGGUGCGCGACCCCAGGGAGGAUUUUGCGCUGCCGUCUUCUUGAGCCAGCCUGUGCCCUGGAAGAAGGACACCAGCCGAGAAGGAUGACGUGGAGGAAAGGAUGACGUGGAGGAGGGGCUGCCUUUUCCUCGGAGAGGAGGUCGACCGUCCGAGGCAUUGUGUGGGAAUGAAGCAAAAAGCAUGAAGAAAAUAGAGCAGGUCGUGUGUCGUCGUGCACGUAGUCUGACUUCCAUUGGCGUAAUUUGUGAACAAUCAGUACUGCACCAGGUUAUCUACAGAGGAAUGCAAGGAUAACUAGAUUAAACAUUUCACAAGAUCCUCCCAAAUACAGGAACAAACUCCUUUCAAGAUAUUAUGAGUGUGCUUGAUUACCGGGGAUUGUCAGAUGAAAAGAAGGACAUCGGCGAGAAGGGGCUCUCUGAGGCGGCUGCACUCGGUCCCCCAUGCAGCCACGCACCACAUCGUCCGGCGACGUUGAUGUCGCUGCUGCCUCAGAGACCUGGAUGAUUCUGUUGUUGGCUUCUGCUAUACUCUCUCUCUCUCUCUCUCUCAGUGGUGUAGGCAGAUUAAAAUGGCAGAUUCAUUCUGUAGGGAUUUGGUUAGGAGAUGAUUCAAGAUUUUGAUUAGGAAUGGUCUAGAUGUGGAUAUGAGUCAAUAAUGUUCCUCUACGUCCAGUUUGAAAGAAGAGAGUGGGUUCUCAAAUACAGUGAGAUCUUGGUUGGAGAGUGAGUAAUGCAAUAGUCUGCGUGUAGUAUGAGGUUGGAACUAAUGCUAAAUAUACUAUUGUUGGAACUAAUACUAAAUAUACAAUUUUGGUUUCUG
Molecule: ribosomal RNA, 1179 nt
Filed under: Triticum aestivum (bread wheat)
Lineage: Eukaryota; Viridiplantae; Streptophyta; Magnoliopsida; Poales; Poaceae
Description: partial small subunit ribosomal RNA
Source: RNAcentral